CCACGCUGCCCUGGCCGUUGUUGCCGCCGUGUCGACCAUCCGGUGCACCCCCGAUGAGGAUAAGACCACUCCUGACCCUGUAGACAAACCCUAUCCCUCACUUAUCCUCUUGCUCAUCCUCUCCCUCUCAGUUUCGCACGCUCCCGAGCUCUCGUCGACUCGUCGUCGCCAUCCUCGCGGCCACUGCCUCCCCGGCGGUCAGGAGGUUCUCCAGGAGCUCCGCCAUCAUCGACUCCUUCGCCUACCUCUGCUGAAUCAAGCUAAGAGGCACCAUACGCUCGGGAUCGAGAUGGUUUCCGCCACGGCCGUUGCAUCUUGCUGUCCAGCUUGACGCAUCCGGCCACCACCGCAGCUCCUGACCUCGUCCACAAGCUCCGCGACCUCGUGACGGCUGCGUCAUCGACGACCCUCCUUCUCGUUUGAGCAACCAGGCAAGCCCCCCUUUGAUCAUCCCGAUAUCGCCCAUUCCAUUCUCUCAUGCUUGCAUUAGAUUUUGCUACUGUAAUUGAUUGCUCCGAUUCUGAUGCAUAGUCUGCUUUUGUAACUUCCUUAUUGUUACCUACCUGCUUAUCCUAAACUGCUUAAUAUAGGUUGGUUAGUGAUCCAUAAGUGACCCCACCUAGUCCUUAUUGCCCCUGCUUCAUCAUCGAUGACUCGAUCAACAUGAUCGACGACCAGAGCCCGACACCUCACAUCACAUCACGCCCCUUUUGUUGCUCGACUCUGCAGAGUUGCCAUCGAGUGCCGAGGGUGGAACCUCUUACAUCACUCCUGAUAAGAUCUCUGUAGUGUAGCUAUCCGGUCGUGGUCAUGGAGGGUGAUUUCCUCCUUAACCACUUCCGAUACGGCUCUGUCGUGCAACCCCUCAUGUGUGAACCUCGAGGGUGGAUCCUCUUACGUUCACCUUGAUGAUUACAUCGAGCGGAAUUCACUAGGGGUGAUUCCUUGGGUUUUCCCCUUGAUGUUUGAACACACGGAUACUUGGACUUUACAACUGUUACUUGGAAAGGCGGGUCGACCGUGAGCGGUACCCGCGAGUGAUGUGUAGUCGUUUUGACCUGGAGGGUGCCCACGAGAUAAUUACGAGGCGUGGCCAGGCAUUCCUAGCCCUUGCCGCAAGUCCUCGAGACGGGGCAACGGGGUCACAUCUUUCGUGAGUCUCUGCUUGUUACCUCGCGUUCCUAAUCCACUAUGAUUUGGAUAUUUGAUCCGAGGGGCCUCUGGCCUGAUAGCACUAACCAUCACAUGGGCAUAGUAUGGGCGUUCUGCGUCGUAUGCAUCAGCCGAACGUUAAUAGACGUUAGCGACUGAGCGGUGCACGCCGGGUUGGACUGGUAAGCACCUUCCUUUUUGAAGGAGGAAGCUAGGUCUGCUCACCGGCCGCGUACCCAACGUGCGGGAGUUCCCGGGGAGAUGGUCCAUGACCCCUGGGGGCAUAGGUUUAGUCCGGCGUGCUGACCUCUCUAUUAAGCCUAGGUCGGGUUGCGGCGUAUUGUUUGGCCGAGGCCGGGCAUGACCCAGGAAAGUGUGUCCGGCCGGAGUUAAUCGAGCGUGGUGGGUAAGUUGGUGCACCCCUGCAGGGAAGAAAACAUCUAUUGAUAGCAUGUCCUACGGUAACGGACACUUGGAGUUGUAUCCCGAUUGAUACAACUAGAACUAGAUACUUGAGAUGAGACUUGGAUAUGAGGUGAUAAAUGGAUAGUAUGGCUCUGGGAUUACUUUCUCGCAAGGAGUCGAGAAAGGACCUCUGGCCGAGGUUGAUAACACUUCUACUACUUUACUUUAUGCUACUCUACUCCCUCCUGUUGCUGUAAGAUGGUGGUUUCCAGAAGAUGCUAGUCUUCGAUAGGCUAGGCUUUCCCCUUCUCUUUUGGCAUUCUACAGUCCAGUUCACAAAUACAACCCUUUUCAUUGAUACCGGUGCAUAUGUAGUGUAGAUCCUUGUUAUGACGCCCGGAUAAUUAAGCUACAGUGAACCUUUUCCAAUGAUGCCACGUCACCUCGGUUACUAUUGAUAAACUCGCGUUAGUUUAAAACAUAUUCAAAUUAAAUUUAAAUUAAAGUCAAACGUUAAAAGUUUUCAAAUGUCAAACUAAAAUGUUCAAAAAAUGGUAAAUAAUCCAUAGGCAAUUAUGGUGGUAAAAUCAACUUUUUGUAAAGUAAUUAAGUGGCCUAAAAUAAUUAAAACAUGGGUCAAUUAUUUAUUAAAAUGCAUUUUCAAAAUGGUAGAAAUCUCCAAACUAUUUUAUUUGCCCCUAAACCUUUUUGUGACAGUAGCCUAUAUUACUAUAUUAAUUGUGGAGCAAGUUUUGUUUUUAUUAAGACAAAUGGUUUAGAAACUAAAUAGAAACCGAAGUUGAAAUAAAAAGAAAACAAAGAAAAAGGAAAGAAAGAAAACCCCGGGCCUUCCCCCCUCCCCUUCCGCUGUUUGGCCCAACUGGGCAUCCAAUCCACCAGCCCACAGGCCCAAGCCCACCAAAGGCCUUUCUCCCUCCCCUAUACAGAGAAGGUGCGUGGCGACCAUCCAAGGUGCCAUGGCCGUGGAUGUCGUCCACGUCGCCUCCUGAACACUAUAAUCCAGUACCCCAGAAACCCUAGCUCGUCCUUGUCCACUUCCCCCUCCUUCCCCAUCGUGCCCCCUCCUCAUCUGCUCGGAAUCAAUCUCGGGAACUCACGCGGUGACCACUGCCUCACCAUUGUUGUCGUGGACACCAUCGUCGCUGUCGCUUGGGAGCACGUCCUGGAGGAUCUCCGCGCACGACUUCGUCCGUUCCGGGGACCAGCUUGAGCCGAGGAGCUGCGUAGCUGUCACCAUUGUCGUCUUCUUCAACCAGCCGCCACUAACUCGCCGUCGAUGUCGACGCUUCGGUCCACCCCGACCCUUCCCGAGCAGGCUAAUGGACUCACCGUGAGCUCCUCUCUCAGAUCCCUAUUGCCCCCCUUUGUUUUGGACGCCGUAGGCCGCUGUUGCCAUCGUGCCCGAGUUUCCGCGUACAUCUGCAGAUGCUACUCCUUACUACAGCUACUUUCUGUGCACUGCAGCUACUGCUCAUGCUGUUGCGCGGCUGCUACCGUUGCUCCUGGCCGCUUGCGCUACUGCUUGCUCGAGCUGCUGCCCCGCUUGCCCUGCUGCUGCGCUGCCACUAGUUGCUGCUCCGCUGUCGCUUGCUGCGUCUCUGCUGCGCCCCUCCUUCAUCGCCGCCUGCGCCUCGGGGGUGCCAGCGCCCGCUGCGCACCGCGGUUUGCCCGCCGCACCGGAUGCGUCCGCGCUGGCGUGCCCUGCCGCUGCUCGCCCCCCCUGCGUGCGCCCCCAUUCCCCAUCGCUCUGGCCCACACCGGCCACGGCCGCCCACCCCCGCAGCCACGGCAACCGACUGCGCCCGCUCCGCCCAUCUCCGCCGCCUGCCACUUGCUCGUCGGCGGCGAGCCACGCCUGCCUACCCUGCUCGCCGGCCAAGCCCUGUACUUGGCCCGCGCUUGCGCCGGCUGUGCUCCGGCCAUGGCUUCGACCUGGUACGCGUGUGCGCGCUAGCGUGUGGCCACUGGCUUCCAGCCAGUGCCUUGUGGCCCCUCCCUCUAAUAGCUUGUUUAGGAUUAACAAAAGUAGUUAAUUUGAUUGACCCCCAUGUCACCGACAGUAUGGCCCCACUUAGUAGUUAUGCUAAAUAGAUUAAAUAAACAAUGUUUAGUUUAACCCAUAUAAAAACUGAGUCAGUGACAGCCGGGUCCCACCUACACUAUUCACCCUUUGACCAGUCAGAUGUUGACUGGGUCAACUAGUCAACAUGCCCCACAUGUCAGCCUCUGUAGAACCUGCUGUGUACACUUCAGUGUGUGCACGUAGCAUUUGGCUAUUAAUUUCAAAUUAAUAAUAAUUCCAGAAUUUUGAAUUAUCUAUUAAAACUUUGAAAAUUAGUAUAAAAUAAACCGUACCUCGGAUGAAAAUACUUUGUACAUGAAAGUUGCUCAGAACGAUGAGACAAAUCCGAAUACGCAGCACGUUCGUCCGCCACACAUCCUUAGCAUAGUGAACAUGCAACAAUCCACCUUCGAUUCAUCUGUCUGAAUAUGCCAAACACCAGGAAUACUUUCCCGGAUGUUUCCUCCCUUCGCCGGUAUCACCUAGUACUGCGUUAGGGCACACCUAGCACCGUGUAUUGCCAUGUUAUGCUUUGUGUUGCUUUGAUUGAUUUAUUAUUUAUUGUAUUCCCCCUCCGUUACUUCUUUCCGGUAGACCCCGAGACUGCCGGGGACCCCCAGUUCGACUACGGUGUGGACGACCCCUCCUUGCCAGAGCAACCAGGCAAACCCUCCCUUUGAUCACCAGAUAUCGCCUACAAUUCUCUCUACUUCUUGCAUUAGAGUAGUGUAGCAUGUUGCUGCUUCCGUUAAUCCUAUCCUGAUGCAUAGCAUGUCCUUGCUACUACUGUUGAUACCUUUACCUGCAAUCCUAAUGCUUAGUAUAGGAUGCUAGUUUAUCAUCAGUGGCCCUACAUUCUUGUCCGUCUUCCAUGCUAUACUAUCGGUCCGUGAUCACUCGGGAGAUGAUCACAGGUAUAUACUUAUACUUAUAUACAUACUAUAGAGGUGGUGACUAAAGUCGGGUCGGCUCAUUGAGUACCUGCAAGUGAUUCUGAUGUUCGGGCUGAAGGGGAAGGUGGCUCCAUCCAGGUAGUGGUGGGCCUGAGUUCCCGACGGCCCCCGACUAUUACUUUGAGGCGGAGCGACAGGGUAGGUUGAGACCACCUAGGAGAGAGGUGGGCCUGGCCCUGGUCGGCGUUCGCGGAUACUUCAAAAUAACACGCUUAACGAGAUAUUGGUAUUUGAUCUGAGUCUGGCCACUGGCCUAUACGCACUAACCAACUACGCGGGAACAAUUAUGGGCACUCGACGUCGUGGUAUCAGCCGAAGCCUUCGUGACGUCAGCGACUGAGCGGCGAGCGUCGGGUUGGACUAGAACGCCUGCUCUUGUAUAAGGGAGGCUAGGUCUGCUCUCCGGCCGCCCUCGCAACAUGCAGGUGUGCAAUGGGCGAUGGGCCCAGACCCCUGCGCCAUAGGAUUUAGACCGGCGUGCUGACCUCUUUGUUGUGCCUAGGUAGGGCUGCGACGUGUUGAUCUUUCGAGGCCGGGCAUGACCCUGAAAAGGGUGUCCGGACAAAGGGGAUCGAGCGUGUUGGGAAAUAUGGUGCACCCCUGCAAGGAAGUUAAUCUAUUCGGGUAGCCGUGAUCUUUGGUACCAGGACGACUUGGAGUUGUACCUUGACCUUAUGACAUCUAAAACUGGUGACUUAAUAAAACACACCCUUCCAAGUGCCAGAUACAACCCGGUGAUCGCUAUCUAACAGGGCGACGAGGGGAGGAUCAUCGGUUAGGGUUAUGAUACGUCUCCAACGUAUCUAUAAUUUUUGAUUGCUCCAUGCUAUAUUAUCUACUGUUUUAGACAUUAUUGGGCUUUAUUAUCCACUUUUAUAUUAUUUUUGGGACUAACCUAUUAACCGGAGGCCCAGCCUAGAAUUGUUGUUUUUUUGCCUGUUUUAGGGUUUCGAAGAAAAGGAAUAUCAAAUGGAGUCCAAACGGAAUGAAACCUUCAGAAACGUGAUUUUCUCAUCAGAUAAGAUCCAGGAGACUUGGACCCUCCGUCAAGAAAGCCACGAGGUGGUCACGAGGGUAGGGGGCACCCCCUACCUCGUGGGCCCCUCGAAGCUCCACCGACGUACUUCUUCCUCCUAUAUAUAUCCACGUACCCCCAAACGAUCGAGGACAGAGCCAAAAACCUAAUUUCAUCGCCGCAACUUUCUGUAUCCACGAGAUCCCAUCUUGGGGCCUGUUCCGGAGCUCCACCGGAGGAGGCAUCGAUCACGGAGGGCUUCUACAUCAUCAUCCAAGCCCCUCCGAUGAAGUGUGAGUAGUUUACUUUAGACCUAUGGGUCCAUAGCUAGUAGCUAGAUGGCUUCUUCCCUCUUUUUGGAUCUCCAAUGUUCUCCCCCUCUCUCGUGGAUAUCUAUUUGUUGUAAUCUUUUUUUUGCGGUGUGUUUGUUGAGACCGAUGAAUUGUGGGUUUAUGAUCAAGUCUAUCUAUGAAUAAUAUUUGAA
This 6092-nucleotide ribosomal RNA is filed under the name Triticum aestivum (bread wheat). Its description in RNAcentral is "partial small subunit ribosomal RNA". The record is from RNAcentral. Lineage: Eukaryota; Viridiplantae; Streptophyta; Magnoliopsida; Poales; Poaceae.